Molecule: long non-coding RNA, 35789 nt
Filed under: Hordeum vulgare
Lineage: Eukaryota; Viridiplantae; Streptophyta; Magnoliopsida; Poales; Poaceae
Description: long non-coding RNA (HVUL_LNC000819)
Source: RNAcentral
UUUUUUUCUUUUGUUGGUAUGUGAAGCUAGGUGGUAUGUAUUUAGCAACAAUAUAAUUAGCAUAAUCAGCAUACGAAGGUGUACUAUUAGAAACAUUUAUUGCAGCUAAUUGUUCAUCGGGAAACCUAUCAUUAAUAGGUUGUGGGUCAUCAAGAAUAUUUUCAAGCCUAGAUAAGUUAUCAGCUACGGGGUUCUCUGCUCCUUUCCUAUCAGUGAUAUGAAAAUCAAAUUCUUGUAACAGAAGAACCCACCUAAUGGAUCUAGGUUUAACAUCUUUCUUUUCCAUAAGAUAUUUAAUAGCAGAAUGAUUGGUGUGAACAAUAGCUUUAGAAUCAACAAUGUAAGAUCCAAAUUUAUCACAAGCAAACACUACUGCUAAGAAUUCUUUUUCAAUAGUAGAAUAAUUUCGUUGAGCAUUGUCUAGAGUUUUACUAGCAUAAUGGAUAGCAAUCAAUUUCUUAUAAACUCUUUGUCCUAGCACAUCACCAACAACAUAAUCACUAGAAUCACACAUAAUCUCAAAAGGCAAGUUCCAAUCAGGUGGUUGAACAGCAGGUGCAGGAAUUAAGGCUUUGUUUAGUGUUUCGAAGGCUUUCAAACAAUCAUCAUCAAACACAAAAGGAAUAUCCUUUUGCAAAAGAUUUUUAAGAGGCCUAGAAAUUUUUGAAAAGUGUUUGCUAAACCUCCUAUAGAAACCAGCAUGACCAAGGAAACUACGAAUACCUUUGAUAUCUUUAGGACAUGGCAUUUUCUCAAUUGCAUCAACCUUGGCUUUGUCCACCUCAAUGCCUCUUUCAGAAAUUUUAUGGCCCAAAACAAUACCUUUGUUAACCAUAAAGUGGUACUUCUCCCAAUUCAAGACAAGAUUUAUUUGUUCACAUCUCUGCAAUUCUCGUCAAGAUUGCUUAUAAAAUCAUCAAAAGACUUCCGAUAAACAAAAAAGUCAUCCAUGAAAUACACAACAAUGUUUACACAGAUAUCAGAGAAUAUAGCAGUCAUACAUCUUUGAAAGGUAGCAGGUGCAUUACAUAAACCAAAACGCAUACGUCCUGUAAGCAUAAGUUCCAAAAGGACAAGUAAAAGUGGUUUUUUUCUUGAUCAGGUUGUGAAACAGGUAUUUGUGAAAAAUCAGAAUAUCCAGCAAGAAAGCAAAAAUGUGUGUGCUUAGAUAGUCUUUCUAACAUUUGAUCAAUAAAAGGCACGGGGUAAUGAUCUUUUCUAGUUGCUUUGCUUAAUUUUCUAAAAUCAAUUACCAUUCUAUAACCUGUGACAAUUAUUUGUGGAAUAAGUUCAUUCUUAUCAUUAGGAACAACAGUAAUACCCCCCUUCUUAGGGACACAAUGAACAUGACUUACUCAUCUACUAUCAGCUAUAGGAUAUAUUAUACCUACUUCCAGAAGUUUCAAUAUUUCCGUUCUUGCCACUUCUUUCUUCUUUGGAUUUAACCGGCAUUGGUGAUCAACAACGGGUUUAGCAUUAGGUUCCAUAUUAAUCUUGUGUUGACAUAGAGUGGGACUAACGCCCUUAAGAUCACCAAGAGUAUAUCUAAUAGCAACUCGGUGCUUCCUUAGAACUUUCAAUGAUCUUUCUUCUUCAUGUUCUGAAAGGUUAGCACUAAUAAUAAUAGGAUAUAUCUUUUUCUCAUCAAGAUAAGCAUAUUUCAAAGUGUCUGGCAAUUGUUUUAAUAAAAACACAGGAUCACCUUUAGGUGCAGGGGGGCCUCCUAGAGUUUCAAUGGGCAAAUUGUGUUUAAGUGGAGGUUGUUGUUCAAAAAAGAUUCUAUCUAUUUCAUUGCUUUCACGCAUAUGCAAAUUAUUUUCAUGGUCUAGCAAAUAUUGUUCUAAGGAUCAGUAGGGGGUGCAGCAAUAGAGACCAAUAAUUUCAUCCUUACUAGGCAAAUAUUUCUUAUGCGGUUGUCUACUAAACUUGGAAAAGUUAAAUUCAUGAGAUUCAUCACCAAAGCUAAAACCAACAGUUUGUUUCUUACAAUCUAUUUUGGCAUUGACGGUGUUAAAGAAAUGUCUACCAAAGAUAAUGGGACAAAAUUCAUCUUGUGGGGAGCCAAGAACAAGAAUAUCAGUGGGGUAUUUUAUCUUCCCACACAAGACUUUAACAUCUCUGAGAUUCCCAAUUGGUGAUAUAGUAUCUCUAUUGGCAAGUUUAAUAGUAACAUCUAUGUCUUCUAUUUCAGCAGGUGCUAUUUCAUUCUUAAUUUCUUCAUAUAAAGAAAAAGGAUUAGCACUCACACUAGCACCUAGGUCACAUAACCCAUGAUAACAGUGAUCUCCUAUCUUAAGGGAAACAAGAGGCAUGCCAACAACUGGUCUAUGUUUAUAUUUUUUUAUCUAAUUUGGCAAUUCUAGAAGCUUCAUCACAGAAGUAAAUAACAUGACCAUCGAUAUUAUCGACCAAGAGAUCUUUAAUAAUAGCAACACUAGGUUUAACUCUGAUUUGUUCAGCUGGUUUGGGUGUUCUAACAUAACUUUUGUUAACCAUAGUUGAAGCUUUAGUAUGUUCCUUCAUCCUAACAGGGAAAGGUGGUUUUUCAAUAUAAGCAGUGGGAACAACUCGAUCAACAUUGUAAAUGAUAGUUUCUUCUUUAGCUUUUACCAGUUCUUUAAUUUCUUCUUUAAUAGGUGGGUGAUAUUUAAACCACUUCUCCUUAGGGAGAUCAACAUGAGUAGCAAAAGAUACACAAAAUGAAACUACCAUCUCAGAAUCAAGUCCAUAUUUAGUGCUAAACUUUUGAAAAGCAUCGAUAUUCAUAAAAGAUUUAACAUAAUCAAACUUAGGUUCAAUAACUGACUCUUUACCUUCGUCGAGAUCCCAAUAUUUAGAGUUGCGUUGAAUUCUUUCUAAAAGAUCCCACCGGAAUUCAAUAGUCUUCUUCAUAAAAGAACUAGUACAAGAAGUAUCGGCAUGGAUUGAUCAUUACGAGAAAGCCGAGCAUAAAAUUCUGAAUAAUAAUUUCUCUUGAGAGCUCAUGACUGGGGAAUGAUAUAACACUGACUUAAGCCUCCCCCAAUCUAGAGCGAUACUUUCUCCUUCACGAGGCCAAAAAUUAUAUAUAUAAUUGUGAUCACGAUGAACUAGAUGCAUAGGAUAAAUUUUUUGAUGGAAUUCCAAUUUCAACCGAUUCCAGUCCAAGAUCUAAUAUCAUCGCAUAGCCUAUACCAUGUCAAUGAUUUUCCCUUCAAAUAUAAAGGGAAAAAAUUAUUAUUAGCUUCAUCUUCGGGUAAACCUGCAAGCUUAAACAAUCCACAAAUUUCAUCCACAUAUAUCAAGUGCAUAUCCGGAUGUUCGGUUCCAUCUCCUGCAUAAGGAUUAGCUAGCAGUUGUUCUACCAUACCAGAAGGAAUUUCAUAUUAAAUAUUUUUAGUAGGUGCAGUAGGUUGAGGGGAAACUAAUUCUGGUUCCGAUUGAGGUGAAGAUACCCCGAACAAACCCCUCAAAGGAUUUUUUCCAUAGUAGCAAGUAACAAUUAAUUUCAGCACGUAGUAAUAAUGUUUCCUUACCAAUUUCCACUUACCAAGAGCGCUUCAGUCCCCGGCAACAGCGCCAGAAAAUAGCCUUGAUGACCAACAAAUAUAUGGGGUCAAUUGUAGCCUUUUAGAUUAGUAAGAGUGUCGAACCCAACGAGGAGCAGACGGAAAUUACAAGUGGUUUUCAACAAGGUAAUGUUUGCAAGUGCUAAAAUUGUAAGUAGGAGAGUAGUUUAAUAGAAUGAUAAUUUGUAACAAGCAAGUAACGAUAGUAGUAACAAAAGUGCAGAAAGAUAACCCAAUCCCUUUGAGGCAAAGGACAUGCCAAAACGGUCUCUUAUGAUAAGCAAAGUGUUCUUGAGGGUACACAGGAAUUUCAUCUAGGCACUUUCAUCAUGUUGGCUUAAUUCGUGUUCGCUACUUUGAUAAUUUGGUAUGUGGGUCGACCGGUGCUUAGGUGCUGUUCUUACUUGAAAAAACCUCCUACUUAUGAUUAACCCUCUCACAAGCAUCCGAAACUACAACAAAAGUAUUAAGAAUAAAUUCUAACCAUAGCAUUAAACUUUUGGAUCCAAUCGGUCCCUUACGGAAUAGCGCAUAAACCAGGGUUUAAGCUUCUGUCACUCUCGCAACCCAUCAUCUAAUAACUACUGCACAAUGCAUUCCGUUAGGCCCAAAUAUGGUGAAGUGUCAUGUAGUCGACGUUCACAUGACACCACUAAGGGAAUCACAACAUAAAUAUCAUCAAAAUAUCAAACACAUAUCAAGUUUACAUGAUUACUUGCAACAUGAUUUCUCCCGUGACCUCAAGAACAAAAGUAACUAAUCACAAAUGAUAAUAAUGCUCAAGAUCAGAGGGGUAUUAAAUAGCAUAAUGGAUUUGAACAUAUAAGCUUCCACCAAAUAAACCAUAUAGUAAUCAACUACAAGAUGUAAUCAACACUACUAGUCACCCACAAGCACCAAUCUAUAGUUCCGGUACAAAGAUUGAACACAAGAAAUAAACUACGGUUUGAGAGGAGUUGGUGCUGUUGAAGAUGUUGAUGAAUAUAGCCUUCCCCAAGAUGGGAGAGUUGUUGGUGAUGAUGAUGACGAUGAUUUCGCCCUCCGGGAGGUAAUUUCCCCGACGGAAUCGCUCCGCCGGAGGGCAAAAGUGAUCCUGGCCAAGUUCCACCUCGAGGCGGCGGCGAUUCGUCCUGAAAGUCCUCUCCCUUUUUUCUAGGUCAAAAUGACUUAUAUACCAAAAGAGGGACACCGGAGGUGGGCCUGGGUGAGCACAACUCACCGAGGCGCACCUGGGCUCCCUGGCUCGCCCACCUGGGUUGUGCCCGCCUGGUGGGACCCCUCUGGUAGUUAUUUUCUCCAAUAUUCCUCAAAUAUUCCAUAAAAAUUUGUCGUAAAGUUUGAACUCAUUUGGAGUUUUGCAGAAUAGGUAGCUUGGCGUACCUUUUUCAGGUCCAAAUUUGUAGCUGCCAGAAUUCUUCCCCUUUGUGUAUACCUUGCAUAUUAUGAGAGAAAAGGGAUUAGAAUUACUCCAAAGAGCAUUAUUAUACAAUAAGACAACAUAAAUAACAGUACGAAAACAUGAUGCAAAAUGGACGUAUCACUAAGCGGUGGACUUAGUGGAGAUCGUGGUUAUCCUAUCGUGGGUAGUGGGCGUUGUUAGAGCGGUGACGGUUGAAAAAUUGAAGUUUGAAAAUUUUGAGGAUUUUGUAGCAAAGUCUUCAGCUGAUAAGGACUCGGUGAGGACUUUGAACAAGUGUCAAUUAGAACGCUUAUGAAGAAUUGAGAAUAGUUUUGGUUGAACUUAGCAUAGAGGGGAGACGGGUCCGAUCACAUUCACUUAGAUGAAAAACCAACUUGAAGACUUAGCAAUAAGUGAAUGCUGUUGAGGACAUUAAAAGCUCAUAUAUUUAUACAUAGUCAAUGAAGAUCAUCACAGAAUUUGUUUGAAGAAUUUGAAAUUUUUGAGGAUUUUGAAAUUUUUUGAAGACUUUGAAAAUUUGAAGUAUUUGCAAAAAGUAUUAGUCUUGAAGAAUUUCAACAUUGGUGGUGGCGUGACCCAGCAUAUAACAAUGAUGAUUUCACGCGUCGCGUACAAUUACCGUAGGUCCCUGAGAAUCAAAUUCUUCAUUAAUUUCUUUACACUUAGAGUGUUAUUCUUCAUUGAUUGAAGAAAACGUUACUUCAUGUGUUGCACAUCUAAGUCAUCAAUUUUGCAUAAGUGUUAGGAUGUGUGCCCUUUCAUAGAACAUUCGAAGAUUCUAGGAUAUUUAGCUCACACCGCAACUUGCAAAUCCUUUUCUUAUCCCAGGGCUUAGUGAAUAUAUCUGCUAGCUGGCCUUCAGUCUUCACAUAGUCGAUGACGAUGUUUCCUUUGAGUGCAUGAUCACAAAGAAAAUGAUGAGAAAUCUAGAUGUGCUUGGUAUUCGAGUGUUGUACAGGGCUGUAAGCAAUCUUGAUUACACUAUCAUUGUCGCAGUAAAGGGGCACAUUUUUCACAUUGAUGUCGUAGUCCUUGAGGUUUUUUUUCAUCCACAACAGUUGAGCACAGCAAGAUCCAACAACAAUGUAUUCAGCUUGAGUAGUGCAGAGUUAUACGCAGUUCUGCUUCUUUGAGGACCAACAAACUAAGGGUUGUCCGAGGAAAUGACAUGUUCCUGUUGUUGACUUGCGAUCCACACGGUCACCAGCAUAAUCAUAAUCACAAUAUCCAACGAGGUGAAGAUUUGAGCGCUUGGGGUACCACAAUCCAAGUGUUGGUGUGUGAUCUAGAUAUCGAAGAAUAUGUUUCAAAACCUUAUGGUGUGAUUCCUUCGGUUUUGCUUGGAAACAUGCACACAUGCAAACACUAAGCAUAAUUUUUGGCCUAGAUGCACAUAGGUACAAUAAAGAGCCAAUCAUAGAGCGAUAUACCUGCUUAUAGAAAUAUGUACCAUUUUUGUCACUCGAGAGGUGGUCAUUGGUAGGCAUGGGAAUUUUGACGCCUUUACAUGCAUUCAUGCCGUAUUUCUUCCGGACAUCCUUGAGGUAUUUCUCUUGAGAGAUGAAGAUGUCAUUGCAUUGUUGAUGAAUUUCAAGUCCUAGGAAGAAUUGCAGCUCCCCUAUCAUGGACAUUUUAUAUUCUUCACCCAUCAAGUAGGCAAAUUCAUCACUGUAACGUUUGUCAGUACAACCAGAGAUGAUAUCGUCCACAUAUAUUUGGCAUACAUAGAGUUCAUUAUCAUAGAAUUUUGUGAAAAGAGUGGGAUCGAGUGAACCAGGUUUGAAGCCUUUCAUUACUGAGAAUUCCUUCAAUGUAUCAUACCACGCCCAAGGGGCUUACUUGAGGCCAUAGAGUGCCUUUUUGAGUCUGAAUACUUUGUCUGGAUGCUUCGGGUCUUCAAAACCUGGAGGCUGAGCAACAUAUACUUCGUCCUCAAGCGUACCAUUGAGGAUUGCGCUUUUCACAUCUGUUUGAUAGAGUGUAAUAUUCUGAUGAUUAGCAUAAGCAAGCAGUAUACAAAUGACUUCAAGUCUAGCAACAGGUGCAAAAGUUUCAUUAAAGUCAAUUCCUUCAACCUGUGUGUAGCCUUCGACUACAAGUCGUGCCUUGUUCCUUACGACCUGACCAUCCUCAUCUUUCUUGUUUCGGUAGAUCCAAUUGGUGCCUACGACAUUGUGCUUGUGAGGAUCAAUCCUUUUGAUGAGUUCCCAGACGACAUUCAGCUUGAAUUGCAAAAGUUCAUCUUGCAUGGCUUGAAUCCACUCAAGAUCCAUGAAGGCUUCAUCAACUUUUGAGGGUUCUGUGAUAGACACAAAGGAGAAAUGCCCACAAAAGUUAAACAAAUGUGAAGCUCUUGAGUGAGUUAGGGGACGUGGUGCAUUGAUGUGAUCGAGGAUUUUGUCAAUUUCCACUUCAUUUGCAAUCCUCGGAUGCGUAGGUUGAAGACUUUGGUUGUGCUCAGAAAUUUGAUCUAGAGCAAUUUACUCCGGUGCACCCGCUUGAAUUUCACCAUUUUUGGGGACAAAUUCUGCAAUAGGAGGUUGUUCCUGAGUAGGGAUGAUAUCUUCAGUAGACUUGUGCUUAAUAGUUUACUUAGGAGUCAAUUUAUCUCGCAUAGUAGGCAGUUGCUCUCUUUGCAAACCAUUAGUUUGAUUGAACCACGCAUCUAUAGUUUCAACAACAUUGUUGUGAUAGGUAUUGAAGACUAUGUAGGUGUGCGAGUCCUUCCCGUAACCAAGCAUAAAACCCUCAUGUGCUUUUGAUGCAAACUUUGAGCUAUGGUGAGUAUCUCUAAUCCAGCAUCUUGCACCGAAGACUUUGAAAUAACUUACAUUGGGUUCCUUGUCACUGAGGAGUUCGUAUAAAGUUUUUUUGAGGAAUUUCUGAAGAUAUACCGUGUUGAUAAUGUGGCAAGCAGUGUUGGUUGCCUUAUGCUAGAAGCGACAAGGAGUGUGAUAUUUUUCAAGCAUAGUCUGUUCCAUUUCAACCAGAGUCAUGUUCUUGCGCUCAACAACGCCAUUCUGUUGAGGAGUAUAAGGAGCAGACAAUUUGUGAGUAAUACCAAGUUCAUGAAGAUAAUCAUCAAGGCGAGUAUUCUUGAAUUCUAUCCCAUUGUCACUCCUGAUGUGCUUGAUCUUGACGCCGAAGUUCAUCAAGGCCCUUGAGGAAAAUCGUUUGAAGACUUCCUGCACUUCAGUUUUGUAAAGAAUGAUAGCACCCAUGUAUCUGGUCAUCUUUCGAGACUCACAAGCCCUGCAAAGAUGGUCCUUCAGGAAUUUGGCGGUUUUGAUGCCGAUGACAUGCUUAUUCUUUGCUAGUGUGUGCAAUCUUCUCAAGCCAGCAUGACCAAAUCGUCGAUGCCAUAUCCACCCUUGUGAGGUUUUUGCUAGUAGACACGUGGCAAGUUGAGGACCUGCAGAGAAAUCAACAAUAUAAAAGUCUCCUCUUCUAAAGCCUUAGAAGACUUUGGAUUUGUCAGAUUCCAUGGUGACUACACAUCUAUAUUUUCCAAAUAUGACAAUCAUAUCAAGAUCAGAAAGCAUCAAGACUGACAUGAGGUUAAACCCAAGGGAUUCGACAAGCAUGACUUUGUCUAUGUGUAGGUCCUUAGAGAUAGCCACUUUAGCAAGUCCCAAAACCUUGAUUUUACCUUUGCCAGCGUAGGUGAUAUUGUCUAGUGGUGAAGGAGUCAGUGGGAUAUUCAUCAAUAGGCUUUUAUCACUAGUCAUCUGAUUUGUAUACCCACUGUCAAGAACCCACUCUGUGGUCUUGGGUUGGUCAUCCUACGGAUGAAUUAGUACUACUUACUAUUUCAAAUGCUUAAGAUUGAAGAAUAUGACAUCAAUUUCAUCAAACUUGAAUUUCAUCACAAAAUAUAUUCUAGACAUCAUGAGGACAUGUGCAAAGAUAGAUAAUGUCAUGAGUUUUUAGCUUAUGUCCUAUCAAGCAAUUGCCUCAGGUCUCCAACAAAUUCUUCAGAUGAUAACUUUCAUAUGGAGACAUGUCCUGCAGAAGUGAUUAGUUUGAUUUCUUCAUCACCCACAUAUGAAGGGGUGGUGAAGAGUUUAUCAUCCUGCGAGCACCAUAUGAGAAUUGAGGCAUUGAAGCUAAUGCACUUCAUUUAACGGGAAGGGGGUUAGAGUGCUCAAAUGAAUAGGCAGAUAAAUUAUUUGAGGACUUAUGAACAUCGUGAUUUGAUGAAUAGUGCACAUAUUCAUGUCCCUUGUAGUUAUGUUGCAUAUCAUAAGCAUUAGUGUGAGUACAAGCAUAGUUUUGACCAUUUGAGGAAACUGAUCCUCAUGAAGACUUUGGUGCACUGAGGAAUUUGAUCUAGGGUUCAUGUUCUUCACUACUGAUGUCAUGAGGACAUUCACCUGAAGACUUUCCAAGCUGCUUUUGGGGACCGAGAUUUUCUUCAGGGGUGGUCCAUUCGUGUAGUUAGUUCCAACAUAUCUAGCAAAUACUCCAACAGCUUGGUUUUUUCAACAGUUUAUAGUUGGAGUCAAAUGACUCAUCUGUGGAAUAACACAUUUCACAUGCAAAGCCUAUUAGGGUGCAUGGAUCAAUAGGAGGUCCUUUUGCAGCAACCCAUGAGGUUUUGGGGUAGUAAUCAGGUUUCCAUUAUGACCCAUCAACAUUCAGUUUCCUCUUAAAGGAAAUACCCUCUUUCCUCGGGUUACUUUUCAGAAUUUGCUUUUUGAGCACAUCGCAAAGGCUUCGAUGCCCUUUGAGGCUUUUGUAUAUGCCUGUCACAUACAAUUCGUUCAACCCUGCAUUUUCAUCAGUGACAUAUGUUGUUACCUCAGGUGAGGAAUUAGUUAUCACAUAAACAGUUGAAGAAUUUGUAGCGAUAGAACCAUUUGAAGUUUCAGGUGAAGAAUUAGCAGUUUCACGUUCGAUGCAUUUCGGACAUGGUGGAAUGAAUUCUUCCUAAGUGGUACUGAUCAGUUGAGCAAGCAAUGAAUCAUUUUUCAUUUGAAGAUCACCAUGGGACAUUUUCAGCUUCUCAAGAUCUAGAUUCAUUAGAAUAAAUUCAUAGGAAAGCUUCUCAUGAUCAGCCAAGAGUGUACCAUAACAUUCUUGAAGACCAUCCAAUCUAGACUGAAGACCUUGAACAUCUUCAAUGAGGAUUUGAGUAUGGUUCAUUUCAUCGCUGAGUAGGUCAUCGCUUUUGUCUAGCAGUUUCUGAAGCUUUUCAAUAGUAGUUUGUUGCUUAGUGGAAAUUUUAGCAAGUUCAUAGUAACUCGGUUUUUUAUAAUAUGAGGUUCAAAGUCACUAGAAUCAAAAGAGGACGUGUGGCUUGGUACCUUUGAACCUUUUGCCAUUAAGCAAUAGGUGGGAGCAAAUUCAUCAUCAUAGCCAUUAGUGUUGUUGACGUUGUCAUUAGGAUGUUGAAGAUGAACUUGUUGACGAAUGUGGUAGCAAGAGAUAGACUUGCCACACCAGACUCAAUUCCACUUCAGAACCUUCAUGUUCAUCACAUUCCUCACAUUCUUCUUCAGAAUCCAUCUCCUUGCCAAUAAGUGAUCGAGCCUUUAUGAAGCCGGUCUUCUUGUGUGAUGAGAACUUUGAGUAUGAGGACUUUGAAGAUUUAUUCUUUUUCUUUGAGUCAUCCGAACUGUCAUACUUAUAAUUCUUAUUCCUUGAUUCCUUCACCCAACGAGGACAAUAAGCAAUGUAGUGACCAGACUUCUUGCAUUAAUGGCAGGUUCUUUUCUUGUAGUCCUCAAGUGAAGAUUUUGAUAUUUAUCAUAUCUCUUCUUGAAGACUUUCUGAACUCGCCAUGCUUUGAGAACUUCUGGAAUUUCCUCAUGAGCAUAGCAAGUUCCUGACUACGUUCUUCAGGAUCACCAAGACUGCAAUCAGAGUCUUCUUCUUCAGAUGAGGAAACAACCUUUGCCUUCAACACAUGAGGUCAUGAAUAGCUUGGUCUAUAAAGGUAUCUCUUCUCUUCUUGUUGUAAUUCAUGAGUAUUGAGUCUCUCAAGUAUAUUAGCAGGAACAAGCAUCUUGUAAUCUGUUCGUUCUUGAAUCAUCACUACCAGUGUGUCAAAUGAUGGAUCAAGGGGUAGUAGCAGUUUCUUCACAACUUCAUGGUCUAUGAUGUCUCUGGCUCCAAGAGCCCGAACCUCAUUGGAGAUGUCAGUGAGGUGAUCAAAGGUAUUUUGGCAGCUUUCAUUAUCAUGUCUUUUGAAGCGGUUUAAGAUAUUGCAAAAAACAUCAACUCAAGAGUCACGCUGUGUGGAGACUCCUUCAUUGACUUUCGACAGCCUUUCCUUGAUAAGCUUCGUAAAGGCCAAUGCACUCACUCUGCCAUACUGACCUUUGCUCAGAUGGCUACAAAUGAUAUUCUUCACUUGAGAGUUGAGUUGCUUGAACCUCUUCACAUCAGCGACAGUGAUAGUUGAAGUGACAGAGGAAAUACCAUUUUCCACAAUAUACCAGAGAUCGUUGUCAAUUGCUUCAAGGUGCAGGGCGCAUCUUGUUCUUCCAGUAGGGGAAAUCCAUUCCAUCAAAGGUAGGACAUCCCGCAGUAACCUUGAUCAUACCUAUGGUCGACAUAACUAAAACUCCACGUGGUUAAACCAAAAUCACACAGAACAAGAGAGUACCUUGCUCUGAUACGAGUUGAAAGUACGUUAUAUCUACUAGAGGGGGGUGAAUAGGCGAUUUUUACAAAUUCAUCACUGAGAAAAUUACUAGUGAGGAAAGUCCUGAGUCAUGAACUAAAGUGUAGCGGAAUAAGUACUUAAAUAGAUAUGCAAAAGCGACUAUAGCUUAGUCCUCAUAGUGAGUUGAAGUGUUCGGUUUGCACAGGUCGCGUGAACAUGAUAAGUAGGUGAUGAAUAACUUAAGUGAAGAAUUUGAGGUGAGGAAUCCAGAGAAAGUCUUCAAUUAAAUUCUUCAAACAAUACACAUCAAAGUCAUCAACAUGCAAUUGAGGAAAUGGAAGAGUUGAAAAAAUAGAACCCAUAUUCUGUGAUAGCCCGAUGAAGACAAUGGUUUGAUGACCUAGUUCCAAGUGAUGUGACAGUCGUACGUCUGGAUUGGAGUGGCUUGGUAUUCAAUCCAAAGGAAACAUAGUCCCUACCAUAUUCUCCUUGAGAAAAGUACACAUAUUACUCGCCCAACACUCAUGAUAAGUCUUUGGGGAAGACUUCCAAACCCUCACAAACUCGGUCACCCGACGAUCCACGAUUGACUGCUGGAUGCUCUAGACCAUGAAGCCUAACCGUCUGGAGGAUCCAUAGUCCUCAAAGGUAACAAACGUCGGUUCCACAUAGGAACAAUUUCUUCAGUGAUGCUAAAUCACUUUGGGUUUCUGGGUUUUGGUUUGCGUGUUUGGUGUUAUUCCUCACUUGACAAUUUUCACUCAAAGUCCUCGAGGAUUGGGUUGCUCUAAAUGACAAGUGUCAGUUUCUCUUGGAGAAGGCAACCAUCUAGUGGUUGUGGGGGGGGGGCUAUUUAUAGCCUGGGAGCAUCCCGACAUGAUAUGACAUUAACGCCCCUAAUGAUAUGACCGUUGUGCGGAUAAGAUUGGGGACAGGUGGCGCGCGACGCGGCAACGGUCGGAUCUUUCAACUGUGAAAGUCCUCAUGUCUCUCAUAUUCCUCACUUGAUGGAUUUGGUAUAUGUAGGUUUGAGUUGAGCAUCAUGAGGAAAUAUUUCCUUAGUAUUACCUAAACCCCCUUUAACAAUACGGUGUUCCUAUGACUCAAGAAAUAAUAAAAUGAAACAGAGCAUUUUCUUCGAGAUACACCGAAUUCCUCAUCUUCAAUGUUUUUAUGCGGAAUAGCAGUUUCUCCGCUACCAAAGUCUUCAAGGAAUGACCAAACUCUUCACCCGAAGACAUACAUUUUUAGGGGUCGAUAUUCAUCGAAUAACUCAAACUCCCGAGCGACUUAUAGAGCUUGUGUACAUUCACAAUCAUAUUAGUUUCUUAACCUAUAAGUCUUCAAACCACAAAAAUCACUAAGGGGAACUAGAUGCACUUACAGACAUGCUACAGACCUAUCCCAGAAAUACGAGAUGGUUCUGGCGCGGUAGUAACAAGCGGUACUACCGCUUGCAGGGAGGUACUACAGCCCCGCACUACCACUCCAAAAAUUGCUCAGUCCGACAUGAAAAGUGUCGAGACCCACGGGCAGCGGCACUAGGUAGCAGAACUGGCCAGAGGAUAUCUCCCUCAGAGGGUACUACCGCAGCCAGGUAGUACCGCUCUAGGGAGUGGUACUACCGCUUGGAUGUUUCCACGCACAACACAAGCAACACAUGAAAAGCAUGAAUACAAGAACUUACAUAUCUUUCACAUACGAGCUCUGAAUUGAACAAACUCAAGCUUGUUGGAUUUAGGACGACAAGAGCUAUCCAACAGGACGACAAGCUUGUUGGUUAUAUUAAGAAGAGGGAGAAUAAAAUGCCAAUGAUGUAGAGAUGUGAAACCUCUAUGAGUGAAGAACCGACAAAAACUCCAACAUAAAAAACAUCAUAGUAGAUGCAUAUGGACUCCAUUUUCAAUGAAUUCGAGGUUGUCAUGAAGAUGACCAUAACCUCUAAACAAGAACCAAGAAAGAUGAUGCAAGGAUGCAAAUGGUUUGAGCUCUCAACGAACGAUACGAUCAAGAUACUCACUUUAGAUCCCCCCUUUAUAGUACGACAAUCUAUCCAGUAACCCAGUCUCCCAAUUACCACUGUGAGAUCGGUAAAAAGAAAACAUAUCAAGGGAAAACCUAUACCUUGCACGUAGUCCACUUGAGCUAGAUCAUGACGAUCUUGACUUCCUCAAGAUGGACCACCUUUCUUGAUUGUGUUGGCUCGAUGAAGACUAGUUGAUUAGCCCCCCAUACUCACUAUGGGUAAGCCACUCUUCAGGACAUCUGCACAAGUCCAUUUCCACCACAAUGGACGGCAAGCUUCAAGCAUGAUAUCUUCGUGAUGCUCCACUUGAACUUGCACCCCACAAUCUUGAUGACGAUCACCACUUCAUGUCAUCCUCCAUGGUUUGUAUGAGAUCUUCCUCUUGAUGCUUGCCCUUGGAAACACACCUAACCCCACAUAGAACUCUCAUGAUUACCAUGGGUUAGUAGACAAAGCGUGACGGACAAUGCUUACCAUACCAUGGUACCACUUUAUACCUCUCGGUACAUCUUGCGUGCUUUGUGUGUUGAUCAACUUGAUUCACUCUUUGACUUAGUCUUGAUCAACUUGUGUCUCUAUGACCAAUCUUUGCAUAAAACCUUGAGUACCACCUUGGUCAUCAUAUAAAAUCCUUGAAACCAACAUAUGGACUUCAAGAAGUUCCUAUGGGAAAAUCCUUCGAAUAUAACUCAAGGCAACCACUAGUCCACAGGGAUUGUCAUCAGUUACCAAAACCACAUAUGGAGAAAUAUGCUCUAACACUAUUCCCCCCGAGUCGCCUCACAAAUAUAUUCACAAAACUGAAAAUACAUUGCUGAUAUUAUUUACUUUCUUUUUAUUUUCAAUUUAUAUUUAUCAAACUAUCGAUCUAUCACUACUUAUCGCUUCCAAGUAAUGAGUUCAAGGGGAUUGACAACCCUCUUGCAUGCGUUGGGUGCAAGUGUGUGUUGUUUUGUGCGCAGAUGGCGAAGAUGGGAAAUUUUGUGGUCCUCCUAUUGGUUUGAUAACCUUGGUUCUCAUUGCGAAAAUACUUACCUCUACCAUGCUGCAUCAUGCUCUCCCCUUCGGAGAAAAUCCCAACGCAGUUUACAAGUAUCAUACGUAUCAAAUGUAUCGAUAAUUUCUGGAGUAUUCAUGCCAUAUUUACCUAUAUUUACAAUACUUUUAUAUGGCCUUGAUGCACUUUAUAUGAUUUAAUUGGAACUAACCCGGAACGACAUUGUUUUCAGCAGAAUUACCAUGGUGUUGUUUUGGUGCAGAAAAUACAAGUUCUCAGAAUCACCCGAAACUUUUUGUUGAUUUUUCUGGAACAAAUAAGAAAUACUGGAGUGAAAAACCACCAGAGGAGGGCCACCUAUUGGUACCAAGCCAACAGGGCGUGGCGACCCCCCUAGGGGUGCCCUUUUGGCUUGGGACUACCUCGUGGCUCCAUUUGACGUGAUUAUAAUGCUGAAAUAUCCUAUGUAUACAGAAAUCCUUAGAAAUAAACCUAAAACUUCCGCUCCACCACCAUAAGCCUCUGUGGUGAACAAAACUCAUUCGAAGCCCUCUUUCGACACCGUGCCAGAGGGGAAAAUCAUCACCGGAGGGCAGAUUCAUCAUACCGGUGGUGUCCAUGACAAGGAGGGAGUAUUUCACCCUCGCGACUAAGGUUAUGUACUAGUAGCUAUGUGUUUGAUCUCUAUCUCUCUCUUGUGGUCUUGAGAUGUCACGAUCUUGAUGUAUCACGGGCUUUGUUAAUAUAGUUGGAUUGAUGUGAUGAAUUGAAUCUCUCCCUUGAGAUUUUGUUUUGCUGGAUCGAAUACUUUGGAUUAGAUCACUUGAUGUAUCUCUUGCAUAUGGAUACACAUGGUGACAAUGGGGGUGUUCUAUUAAUUCAAUUGAUAUAUGUUUUGGUACUCAACUUGUGGAUUCCCAUGGUGACAAUGGGGUAAUUUAUGAAGAUGGGUCGAUAAACGUUCUUGUCCUACUUUUUACGAUGGAAUUCUGGGUAUUUUUUGAAGUUAUUUGUGUUGGAUUGAAUAUGAUGAAUCUGAAAUUGUUUGAUGAAUGUAAAAUAAUCAACCAACACAUACUUCGAGUGACAUUAGGGUUGAUUGUUGUGUAUCAUAGGUGUUAUUAUAGUACAAACUCUAGGGCUGUUUGUGAUACUUAUAGGAAUAGCUCAAUAGAUUUAUCGAAAAGAAUAGCUAUGAGGUGGUUCUGCGACCUACAACAAUUGCAUCUUAUGUUCUCUGCUACUUAUGCACUUUGGAGACAUCCUUUAUUGCACGUUGAGGGAUGAUCAUAUGAUUCUAUUAUGUUUGCAUCGUUGAGAGAAUGCAAUAGUGGAAGUAUGAACCCUAGGCCUUAAUUCUAAGCAUUGAAAUACCAUUUAUGAUCACUUUUACUACUUGUUACCUUGAUGCUUUUAUAUUUUCAUAGUAUAAAAACAUAUAUCUACUAUCCAUACUACAGUGGUAUCACAAUCUCUUCGCUAAACUAGUGCACUUAUACAAUUUACCAUUGUAUGGGGUGUGUUGGGGACACAAGAGAUUUCUUGUAUUUUAUUGCAGGGUUGUUUGAGAGAGACCACGUUCAUCCUACACCUCCCACGAAUUGAUAAACCUUAGGUCUUCCACUUGAGGGAAAUUUUCUAUUGUCCUACAAAAAUCUCUGCUUGGAGACCCAACAGAGUCUAUUAACUACUCAUUAAUCUUGACUUAUAUCUUUUUGAGUGUAGUUUGAUGUUCACUCUUGUGCUUCAGCAUAUCCUAAGAGUAAAUGUUGAAUGAAUGAAAAGGCAUAAAUGUGAAAUUAUAUAUGCUUCAUAUGCCUCUCCCAAGGGGUGUAAUAACUUCACACACUAGAAGCAUAAGCGGUAAAAUUUAUUAGAAAUUAGCAAACAUAGCAUUCGUCACUUGAACAACUCAUAAAAGAAUAUUGAAGGAAGAGAUAUGUCACAUAUAAAAAUACUAUCUUGGACAUCUUCUAUGAUUGUGAGCCCCCAUUAAUUAUUUUCAAACUUGAUCAAGUAGUUGAUGUUGUACAAGGAAGACAACGUAAUAGUGAUGUUAGUUUAUAUUCACAUAGAAGAUAUAUUGUCAUGGAUCCUCUAACUUGUGGUGCUUGCUACUUCAACAAAAGACCUUCCAAUGGCACCAGAAACGUGCUAACGGGCGACUGUUCUUGUCUUGAUACUCCUUAGCAAUGGCACCAGGAAUCCUUCUGUUACGGCUACGCCUUAAGGGACUUCCUAGGCAAAUAUGCAAAGGAUUUCCCCCGUGGCCUUGGAGCCUUGCGUUGGUGUCCCCUCGAAGCGGAAAGGGUGAUGUAGCACAGCGGUGGUAAGUAUUUCCCUCAGUUUGAGAACCAAGGUAUCGAUCCAGUGAAGGAAUAUCACAAGUGCCUGCACAAACACAAAAAAGCUUGCUCCAAACGCUAUGAAUGGGUUGUCAAUCCCUUAUAGAUUGUUCGCCAAGUGAUAAUUGAAAGCAACAAAGUAACAAAGCAAAGUAAAAGCGAAAGUGGAAACAAUAGGUGUGAAUAGACCCGGGGUCCGUAGUGUUUACUAGUGGCUUCUCUCAUGAAAGCAAGUAGACGGUGGGUGAACAAAUUACUGUCGAGAAAUUGAUAGAACCGCGCAAAGUCGUGACGUCAUCUAUGGCNNNNNNNNNNNNNNNNNNNNNNNNNNNNNNNNNNNNNNNNNNNNNNNNNNNNNNNNNNNNNNNNNNNNNNNNNNNNNNNNNNNNNNNNNNNNNNNNNNNNNNNNNNNNNNNNNNNNNNNNNNNNNNNNNNNNNNNNNNNNNNNNNNNNNNNNNNNNNNNNNNNNNNNNNNNNNNNNNNNNNNNNNNNNNNNNNNNNNNNNNNNNNNNNNNNNNNNNNNNNNNNNNNNNNNNNNNNNNNNNNNNNNNNNNNNNNNNNNNNNNNNNNNNNNNNNNNNNNNNNNNNNNNNNNNNNNNNNNNNNNNNNNNNNNNNNNNNNNNNNNNNNNNNNNNNNNNNNNNNNNNNNNNNNNNNNNNNNNNNNNNNNNNNNNNNNNNNNNNNNNNNNNNNNNNNNNNNNNNNNNNNNNGGGAAAGGUCACCACAUGGUAAGAACCCAAAACCAAGCACUUCUCCCAUUGCAAGAAUCAUAGAUCUAGUUGGCCAAACAAAACCCAAGACUCGCAGAGACUUACAAGGAUAUCAAAUCAUGGACAUAAGAAAUCAACAAAGACUCAAAUAUAUAUCAUAGAUAAUAUGAUCAGAAAUCCACAAUUCAUCGAAUCUCGACAAACACACCGCGAAAGAGGAUUACAUCGGAUAGACCUCCAUGAAGAUCAUGGAGAACUUUGUAUUGAAGAUCCAAGAGAGAGAAGAAGCCAUCUAGCUACUAACUAUGGACCCGUAGGUCUGAAGUGAACUACUCCCGAGUCAUUGGAGGGGCGAUGAUGUUGAUGUAGAAGCCCUCCAACUCCAAAGUCCCCUCCGGCAGGGCACCUGGAAGGGUCUCCAGAUGAGAUCUCGCGGAAACGGAAGCUUGCGGCGGCGGAAAAGUAUUUUCGUGGAUCCCCUGAUUUUUUCUGUAUUUUAGGGAAUAUAUAGGCGAAGGAGCUAGGUCAGGGGCGCGCCAGGGAGGCCACAAGCCUGCUAGCCGCCGCCCCUUGGUGGCGGCUACAGGGCUUGUGGGCUCCCUUUAGCUCUCCUAGCUAGGCCCACAAGCCCCCUGAUCUUCUUCCGUUCGGGAAAAAUUUAUUUCGGGGAUUUUAUUCCGUUUGGACUCCGUUCCAAAAUCACAUCUGAAAAGAGCCAAAAACACACAAAAAACAGGAAUUGGCACUUGGCACUGAAUUAAUAAGUUAGUCCCAAAAAAGAUAUAAAAGGUACAUAAAACAUCCAAAGAUGACAAGAUAACAACAUGAAACCAUCAAAAAUUAUAGAUACGUUUGAGACGUAUCAAGCAUCCCCAAGCUUAACUCCUGCUCGUCCUCGAGUAGGGAAGUGGUAAAGAAUGAAUUUUUGAUGCUUUCAUGCUACCUAGCAUAGAUGUCCUUUAUAACUCCUCUUAUGUGACGUGCAAGUUCAGAUCCAUUAGAUUCAAAACAAUAGUUUGCUAUUGACGUGGAAACAAUAAUACUUCAAGCAAACUAGCAAGGUAAUCAUGAACUUUGAAAAUAACAAGGCCAAAAGAAAGUUAUCCCUACAAAAGCAUAUAGUCUGGCUAUGCUCUAUCAUCAUUGCACAACGAAUUUAAAUCAUGCACAACCCCGGUAUUGGCCAAGUAAUUGUUUUCACACCAUUACUUUCUCAAACAUUUUCAACUCUCACGCAAUACAUGAGCGUGAGCCAUGGUUUUAGCACUAUAAGUGGUGUGGAGUGUGGUGGAGGUUGCAAGAAAAAUAAGGAGAAGAUAAUCACAUUAACUAGGCAUAUCAAUGAGCUGUGGAGAUGCUCAUCAAUAGAUAUCAAUGUGAAUGAGUAGGGAUUGCCAUACAAAUGAUGCACUAGAGCUAAGAGUAUGUGAAAGCUCUUAAACAAAACUAGUGGGUGUGCAUCCAACUUACUUGCUCACGAAGACCUAAGGCAAUUUUGAGGAAGCCUAUCAUUGGAAUAUACAAGCCAAGUUAUAUAAUGAAAAUUUCCCACUAGCUAUAUGGUGGUGACAAAACGAGAGACUCUCAAUCAUGAAAAUCAUGGUGCUUAAUAUGCACAAGUGUGGAAAGGUGGUAGCAUUGUCCCUUCUCUCUUUUUCUCUCAUUUUUUGGUGGGCUCUUUGGCCUCUUUUUUUUUGGUGGGCAUGUUUGGCCUCUUUUAUUUCCUCACAUGGGACAAUGCUCCAUCAAUGAUGAUCAUCACACUUUCAACUCAAAACUUAGAGCAACGAUAACUCUAUAUGGAAUGCCUUCGGUAGUGUACCGUGACAAUGAUCUAGCAUGGCAUGGACAUUAAUGGAAACAUCAUGCUAGCUAUCUUACGAUCAUGCAAUGGCAAUGUAGACGUGGUGGCACAUGUCAUGGUGGUAGUUGCAUGGCAAUAUAUCUCGGAAUGACUUUGAAAAAGCCAUAGUAGGUAGGUAUGGUGGCUGUUUUAAGGGAGGCUAAUGGUGGGUUUUGUGCACUGGCGAAAGUUGCACGACACUAAGAAGAUAGUGAUGGUGGAAGGUGAAAGUGCAUCUAAACCAAGGACUCAACAUUAGUCAUGAAGAACUCAUAUACUUGUUGCAAAAGUUUUAUUAGUAAUCGAAACAAAGCAUUCAACACAUACUCCUAGGGGAAGGGUUGGUAGGUGUAAACCAUCGCGCGAUCCCGACCGCCACGCAAAGGAUGACAAUCAAUAGACUAAUCAUGCUCAGAUUUCAUCACAUAGCGGUUCACCAUACGUGCAUGCUACAAGAAUCACUAACUUCAACACAAGUAUUUCUAGAUCCACAACACUUUACUAGCAUAACUUCAAUAUUACCAUAACCACAACUCAAAACUAAUUGAGAUGAAUCAAACUUCUCUAACUAUUCAAUGCACAUGAAGAUGGAACUUUUCGUAUCCCUUUGGAUAACUACCCCUUUUGAGACUACUUUCAAAGCAAAGAUCAACUACCAAGCCACGCACCGCCGCGCUCUAAAAGAUAUAAGUGAAGCACAUAGAGCAAAAGCAUCUAGCUCAAAAGAUAUAAGUGAAGCACAUGUGAGCUGAAUUGUCUACCAAAGGAUAUAAGUGAAGCUCGACAAAAUCACGGUGAGUGCAUGUCUCUCUCUCUAGGUGUGCAGCAAGGAUGGUUGUGACACAAAAAAAAUAAAAGACUCCUAUGAUACAAGACGCUCCAAGCAAAACACAUAACAUGUGGUGAAUAAAAAUAUAGCCCCAAGUAACGUUACCGAUGGAUUGAAGACGAGAGAAGGGAUGCCUUCCCGGGGCAUCCCCAAGCUUAGGAUUUUACAGCAUCCUUGAAUCUCUUGGGGUGCCUUGGGCAUCCCCAAGCUUGAGCUCUUGCCACUCUUUAUCUCUUUGUCCAUAAGAACUUCACCCAAAACUUGAAAACAUCACAACACGAAACUUAAACAGAAACUCGUGAUAACAUUAGUAUAAGAAAGCAAACCACCACUUCCUUAGGUACUGUAGCAAACUUAAAUUCUACUUAUGUUGAUGUUUGGUUACUGUAUUUUCAAUCUUCCAUGGCUAAUACCCCCCGAUACAAUCCAUAGUUUCAUCAAAAUAAGCAACCAACACAACAAAAACAGAAUCUGUUAACAGCAGACCAGUCUGUAGCAAUCUGUAUACUUCGUAUACUUCUGGUACUUCAACAAUUCUGAACAAUUACGACAGUAUGAAUAAUUUGCGUAGCAAUCAGCAGCAAAAAGAAUCUACUCAAAAGCUCUUACAAAGAAAAUGAAAAUUCUUUUCGUGAGCACAAAGUUUCUGUCUUUUCCAGCAUGACCAAAUGAUCAUCCCCAAGACUAAUCAUAACGGUUUUGCUUGGCACAAACACAAAAAGAAACACUAAAAACACAAUCAUAACAGAAUUAUGAAAGUGUGGAAAACACAAAACAGAAAGAAAAAGGAUAGAUUCGUUGGGUUGCCUCCCAGCAAGUGCUUUUGUUUAACGCCCUUAGCUAGGCAAAAGGUGAUGGAAUCACGUAUAGUCAUCUUUGGUGCUCAAACCAUAAGUAGCCCUCAUCAUAAAUUCAUAAGGCAAUAUUAUUUUAUUUCUAGGAAAGUGCUCCAUGCCCUUCUUUAAAGGAAAUUGAAAAUAUAAUAUUCUCUUCCUUCAUAUCGAUGAUAGCACCAAUAGUCCUUAGGAAAGGUCUACCAAGAAUAAUGGGUCAUGAAGGAUUGCAAUCUAUGUCAAAUACAAUGAAAUCCACGGGUACAUAGUUCUUAUUUGCAACAAUAAGAACAUCACCGAUCCUUCCCAUGGGUUUCUUGAUAGUAGAAUCCGCAAGAUGCAAAUUAAGAGAACACUCUUCAAUCUCAUGAAAACCAAGAAUAUCACAUAAAGACUUUGGAAUCACGGAAACACUAGCACCCAAAUCACACAAAGCAUUGCAGUCGUAGUUUUUGAUCUUGAUUUUGAUAGUAGGUUCCCACUCAUCAUGAAGUUUUCUAGGUAUAGAGACUUCUAAUUCGAGCUUCUCUUCAAGAGAUUUCAUCAUAGCAUCUACGAUAUGCACUGUAAAGGCUUUGCUUUGGCUAUAAGCAUGUGGAGAGUUUGCAAUGGAUUACAUCAAAGAAAUGCAUUCAAAUAAGGAGCAAUUAUCAUAAUUGAAUUCCUUGAAAUCCAAAGUGGGAUUUCAUUACUACCCAAAAUUUUGAUUUCUUCUUCUCCACUCUCCACACCUUUAUCAUCAAGAUGGGUGGACUCCGAAUCAUUGGGGAGUUUUUCAACAAAAGUGGAUUCAUAUCCAGCCCCUUCAUCAAUAGGUUUGACACGCGAAAACAAAGAUUCAAGAGGAGUCACGCCAAGCACUUUAAGAUCUUCGUGAUUUGCAUCACAAAUUUCAGGUUUAGCUGCCAUCUUAUUGACUAAGGUGGCCUUCUUGUCAGAAAUUUGACCCACCAAUUUUUCAAGGUGAGCAAGCUGAGAAUUAAGUGCAAGGAAAUCAUUGGACUUAUCAUCAACCUCUUUAUUCAAACAGACCAAAAAGGAAUUUUGCUCUUUUAAUUCCCUACCGAAGUAACUAUUUUGGUCAAACUGAGAAGACAUGAAACCUUUGACAUUAGUUUCAAUCUCCUCCAAUUUUCUGAAAUAGUUUGGUUUGGCCAUGAGGAAAGGUCUCUCACGAACAAGCCUAAGAGCAGGCGGGCGAAAGGGAACGGCAAAAAGGAAAAAAGAAAAAGAGAACGGCAAAGGAGAAAGGCAAAUGAAAACGGCAAAUGUGAAGUGGGGGAGAGGAAAACGAGAGGCAACUGGCAAAAAAGUAAAUGCAAGAGAUGCGUUUGUGAGACCUACUUGGAUAGAUCUCUCCUUCCCCGGCAAGGGCGCUAGAAAUACUUUUACUACUGCAACAAAAGACCUUCCAACACCGCCAGAAACGUGCUGACGGGAGACUGUUGUUGUCUUGAUACUCCUCAGCAAUGGCACCAGGAAUCCUUUUGUUACGGCUACGCCUUAAGGGACUUCCUAGGCAAAUAUGCAAAGGAUUUCCCCCGUGGCCUUGGAGCCUUGCGUUGGUGUUCCCUCGAAGCGGAAAGGGUGAUGUAGCACAGCGGUGGUAAGUAUUUCCCUCAGUUUGAGAACCAAGGUAUCGAUCCAGUGAAGGAGUAUCACAAGUGCCUGCACAAACACAAAAAAGCUUGCUCCCAACGCUAUGAAUGGGUUGUCAAUCCCUUAUAGAUUGUUCGCCAAGUGAUAAUUGAAAGCAAAAAAGUAACAAAGCAAAGUAAAACGAAAGUGGAAACGAUAGGUGUGUAUAGACCCGGGGUCCGUAGUGUUUACUAGUGGCUUCUCUCAUGAAAGCAAGUAGACGGUGGGUGAACAAAUUACUGUCGAGAAAUUGAUAGAACUGCGCAAAGUCAUGACGUCAUCUAUGGCAAUGAUUAUAUCUAUAGGCAUCACGUCCAAAACAAGUAGACCGAUACUUUCUGCAUGCUACUAUUACUCCACAUGUCGACCGCUAUCCAGCAUGCAUCUAGUGUAUUAAGUCCAAAAGAAUAGAGUAACACCUUAAGCAAGAUGAUAUGAUGUAGAUGGACAAUCUCAUAUCUAUGACAAAGCCCACCUUGUAACCCUUGAUGGCAACUACACGAUAUGUGCCUUUCUGCCCCUACUGUCACUGGGAAAGGUCACCACACGGUAAGAACCCAAAACCAAGCACUUCUCCCAUUGCAAGAAUCAUAGAUCUAGUUGGCCAAACAAAACCCAAGACUCGCAGACACUUACAAGGAUAUCAAAUCAUGCACAUAAGAAAUCAGCAAAGACUCAAAUAUAUAUCAUAGAUAAUCUGAUCAGAAAUCCACANNNNNNNNNNNNNNNNNNNNNNNNNNNNNNNNNNNNNNNNNNNNNNNNNNNNNNNNNNNNNNNNNNNNNNNNNNNNNNNNNNNNNNNNNNNNNNNNNNNNNNNNNNNNNNNNNNNNNNNNNNNNNNNNNNNNNNNNNNNNNNNNNNNNNNNNNNNNNNNNNNNNNNNNNNNNNNNNNNNNNNNNNNNNNNNNNNNNNNNNNNNNNNNNNNNNNNNNNNNNNNNNNNNNNNNNNNNNNNNNNNNNNNNNNNNNNNNNNNNNNNNNNNNNNNNNNNNNNNNNNNNNNNNNNNNNNNNNNNNNNNNNNNNNNNNNNNNNNNNNNNNNNNNNNNNNNNNNNNNNNNNNNNNNNNNNNNNNNNNNNNNNNNNNNNNNNNNNNNNNNNNNNNNNNNNNNNNNNNNNNNNNNNNAUCUAGCUACUAACUACGGACCCGAAGGUCUGAAGUCAACUACUCACCAGUGAUUGGAGGGGCGAUGAUGUUGAUGUAGAAGCCCUCCAACUCCAAAGUCCCCUUCGACAGGGCACUAAGAAGGGUCUCCAGAUGAGAUCUCGCGGAAACGGAAGCUUGCGGCGGUGAAAAAGUUUUUUCGUGGAUCCCCUGAUUUUUUCUGUAUUUUAGGGAAUAUAUAGGCGAAGGAGCUAGGUCAGGGGGGCGCGAGGGAGGCCACAAGCCUGCUAGCUGCCGCCCCCUGGUGGCGGCUACAGGCUUGUGGGAUCCCUGUAGCUCUCCUGGCUUGGCCCACAAGCCCCGUGAUCUUCUUCCGUUCGGGAAAAAAUUAUUUUGGGGAUUUUAUUCUGUUUGGACUCCGUUCCAAAAUCAGACCUGAAAAGAGCCAAAAACACAGAAAAAACAGGAACUGGCACUUGGCACUGAAUUAAUAACUUUGUCCCAAAAAAAUAUAAAAGGUACAUAAAACAUCCAAAGAUGACAAGAUAACAGCAUGAAACCAUCAAAAAUUAUAGAUACAUUUGAGACGUAUCAGUGCUUGCUUAUGAUCUUUUGCUAGCCCAACAUUUAUACUGACUAGAUAUAAUGCUUGUGAACCGAAAAACACUUAAACCUAGUUUCUUGCCAUAAGAGUCCACCAUAUCUACCUAUGGAUUGAAUAAGAUCCUUCAAGUAGGUUGUCAUCACUUCAAAAAGCAAUAAAAAUUGCUCCUAAAUAUGUAUGAUCUUGUAUUGGAAGGGAAAAUAAUAUUUGUACGAAAUAAAAGCGAUGGACUGCAUAAUAAAGGUUGCUAUCACAAGGGGCAAUAUAAAGUGACGCUCCUUUCCAUUAAGAGUUUACACAUCCAAAAAUUAAAAAGCGCAUGACAACCUUUGCUUCCCUCUGUGAAGAGCCUAUCUUUUACUUUUCAAUAUUUACUUUUAUGCAACAAUCAAUAAUGUUUACCCCUAUUCCAAUAUAUUAAUUCUUUAAUUGGCAAGCAUCAUGUGGUAGGGAAAGAUCUAUGCAUAUAUAUCCAUUUGAAUAUAGAUGAUCAUGAUUCAUCAGUGUUGACCAUAUCCCUGAGAUAAUAAAUGAAUUGGGAGGUGACACAUUAAGCCCCGAUAUUCCUGUUUGUUUGACUUAAACUGUUUGUUCUAAAACUAUGCAUUAAUUUCAACAAUCAUGGAAGACUAAGUGAUAGUUGAGUAUGUGGAAUUUUCUAAAUCAAAGCUAGUUCAUAGACCCUUCCUGAAAAUAAGAUGAUUUGUAAUUGUUUGAUGACUGAGAACAUAGUUUGUUGGUUUUCAAGAAUGUUUAUGGUCUAUUCUUUCAAAUAUGCAUAGCUUGCUACUUUAUUAUGAGAAGUUUUAUGAGAAAAUAUUUGUUUUUAUGAUGCUAGAAAAAGUGAUUGGAUCAAACUUAUAUACUAAGCUAGCAUUCACACUUCAUAAAUUACUUCUUUUAUCAUUUACCUACUCAAGGACGGGUAGGAAUUAAGUUUGGGGAUGAUGAUAUGUCUCCAAUGUAUGGAUAUUUUAUGAAGUAUUCAUUCCAUAUUUAUCUAUGUUUAUAUUACUUUUAUAUGGUUCUGAUGCAUGUUAUAUGGUUUAAUUAGAACAAACCGGACUGACGUUGUUUUCAACAGAAUUACGGUGGUGUUAAUUUUGUGCAGAAAAUAGAAGUUCUCGGAAUCGCAUGAAACUUUUUUGGUGUUUUUUGUAGAACAAAUAAGAAAUACUGGAGCCAAAAACCAGUCGAGGAGGGCCAACUAUUUGUGCCAAGCCAACUGGGUGUGUCAUGUUGGCUUGGGACCAUCUCGUGGCUUCGUUUGACGGGAUUAUAAUGCUGAAAAGUCAUAUAUAUACAGAAACCAUUAGAAAUAAACCUAGAACUUUCGUUCCAUUGCCAGAAGCCUCCAUAUCAAAGAAAACUCAUCCGGAACCCUGUUCCGGCACCCUACCAAAGGGGAAAUCAUCACCAGAGGCAUUCUUGAUCAUCCUGGUGGUGUCCAUGACGAGGAGGGAGUAGUUCACCCUUAGGGCUAUGGGUAUGUACCCGCAACUAUGUUGGAUUGAAUACUUUGGAUUAGAUCACUUGAUCUAUGUCUUGCAUGUGGAUACCUAUGGUGACAAUGGGUUGAUCUAUUGAUUCACUUGAUAUAUGUUUUGGUACUCAACUUGCGGAUUCUCGUGGUAACAACGGGGUAAUCUAUCCUAAUGGGUUGAUAAACGUUCUUGUCCUACUUCCUCUCAUAGAAAUCUUGGGGUACUCUUUGAAGUUCUUUGUGUUGGAUUGAAUAUGAUGAAUCUGAAAUUGUUUGAUGCGUGUCGAAUAAUUAACCCACAUAUAAUUCAUGUGACAUUGGAGUAUCUAGGUGACAAUAGGGUUGAUUGAUAUGUAUCAUCCGUGGUGUUCUAGUACGAACUCCAGGAUUCUUUGUGACACUUAUAGGAAUAGCUUAAUAGAUUGAUAAAAAAGAAUAGCUUUGAGGUGGUUCUACUACCUACAACAAUAUAAUAUUAUGUUCUUAGCUACUUACAAACUUUGGAGUGAUUCUUUGUUGCACAUUGAGGGAUGAUCAUAUGAAUCUAUUACGUUAGAAUUUUUUAGAGACUGCACUAGUUAAAGUAUGAACCCUACGCCUUAUUUCUAAGCAUUGCAAUACAGUUUGUGCUCACUUUAACUACAUGUUACCUUGCUUUUUUAUAUUUUCAUAUUACAAAAACCUAUAUCUAUUAUCCAUAAUACAGUUGUAUCACCAUCCCUUCGCCGAAUUAGUGCACCUAUAGAAUUUACCAUUGUAUUUGGUGCAUUGAGGACACAGGAGAUUUCUUGUAUUUGAUUGCACGGUUGUUUGAGAGAGACCAUCUUCAUCCUACACCUCCCAAAGAUUCAUAAACCUUAGGUCAUUCACUUGAGGGAAAAUUGCUACUGUCCAACAAAUCCUUGCUCUUGGAGGCCCAACAGAGCCUACAAGAAUAAAGUUGUGUAGUAGACAUCGGUUUUUGUGCAGGGAAGGGAAGAGGGGAAGCGGGGGCUUCCCUGCUGUUCGCACCUGUGAGGUUGCCCAUUGGGGCUCUCGGGCGACCGACAUGCGUGCGAAGGUGAGAAGGAGGUACAUAUGGGAUGGGGCGGCAUGUUGGUGCCUUGUGCACAUCGAGGAGCACUCACAGGCAUGUGGGCGCCUCCCAAGGUGGUUAGGGUUGGGGUCACGGUGUGGCUAAAGUGCCAGAGUGCACUGUAGCAUGCUCCAGAGCAUUCAUAUGGCUGGCAUUGACUUCUCUCGCGUUCUAUGGCAUGUCCUGUUGUGCCCGAGGUAUUUUAGGGAUGCCCUGGCUGGUAUAGGAGUUAAGCAAAAAGGGUGGAGUAAAAGAAUGUGGGGUGGGCUGCAGAGAGAGAGAGAGAGGCAAACAUGUGUCUAGAUAAGAAAAUAAGGGGGUUACCCCCUUCAAUGAUUGUUCCUUGGCUAGGGAAAUUUACUCAGGAGGUAGAUGUGGACAAGUAGGAGUUGUGGUAACAAUUUGAGAUCGAGGAGACUAAAGGAACUGAGGCAAAUAGUAACUUUGGAUAAUCAGCAGAACGUGUUUCAUGUAGCUUUUAGCUAUGUAAGUUUGUAUCCUAUCCUUGAGAUUUAAUAGGAUUGAGAAUUAGGAUCAAAUGUAUAUGUCUACAAAUUUGUAGCUCACUUUAAGAAAGUGACUAGUGCAACUUUGGCAAACCCUAGAAAUAAACACAAACAUAUUUGGACUAAUCUAGCUAAGCCAUGCUUUUCUUCUUGACGCACCACUUGGUGUGGAUGCUUGAUUAGAGUAUUAGAACACGUCCAAAAAAUUAGGCUUCAUUCUUGACACUUAGUAGUGUAAACUUGUUAAAAAAUAGAUCUGGAAAUAGAGGGUUUUGGGGGACUUUGGUGAACCAAAAUUAUUUGGAUUGAGCUCAAAUUUGGUAAGAUCAUCAUAUGAGGCAUAUUUCACUUGUUGGAAUUUUCCUGGAUUUAUUUGGCAAUAUUUAUUGUGGAAAAAUAUUUCAAAUACUUGAAAUAUGCAGAAAGAGUUUUGGAUGGUUUUGUCCAAUAUUUUGAACAUUACCAUGUAUUGAAACUCGUAUAUAUGAAAAAUAUAGGUCCACCAGGUUUCCCUAAAUUUUCUCAAAUAUUUUUUCUCAAUGAAAGACAAUUUCCAACCUCAGAAAAAGGUAUAUAAAUAAUAUACAAACAUAACUUUGAAAAUAAUAUUUUUCUUGUUUUGGGAAGUUUGAUAUAUAAUAGUUCCAAAUAAAAUCUUUGGGGAAAAGCAUUUACCCUAAUUUGAGUACUUGUAGUACAAACCUCAAUUCAUGGUUUUUUGAAAACCUAAAUCAAAUAAAUACUUUUCAGCCAAAAUAUUGUUCUUAAAAAUAGUUGUAUGUCAUAUACAAAUUGCAUAAUCAUAGUUCAAAGUUUUGGAUCAAGGACAUGAGUUUUGAGAAUGGGAGGAUUUUUGUGAAUAAAAGCACAUACAAGCAAACAAGAAGAUGGAAAAUCAUUCAAGCAUCACAUGCACACAAAACAUUUUUGUUGGUCCAAACUUUUAAGCUUCAUUAACAUAGUGAUGUGAUACAAAACACACGGUGUAACAUCACCAAACUUUUAUUUACUUACAACUCGAUAUUGUAAUAAAGCUAUACAAGACGACUCUAUAUGAAUGCCGCUAGCAGUGUACCAGGAUGUGCCUGUUCAGGAACAAACCAUGGAAAAUAGUAAAUUUCGUACGGACACCCAAGAUCUUCCUAUGGAGAUGCAUAAGAACGAGAGGGAAGAGUGUGUUUGCGUACCCUCAGUGACCACUAAGGGGAAGUGUAUAUUACGCGGUUCAUUUAGUCAUACUAUUCAUGAUCCAAUCACGAUCCACCACCUCUCGGGUUAGCACAUGUGGGGCUCGAUGUCGUCUCAGUCUCCUUGAUCCAGUAAGCGAGGGCGGAGAAGUAGAUGGGAUCUUGAUAAUCUCCAAGUGCAAGGAAUAGUCGUAGCAAUUUCCAAAGAUGGAAGUGGUAAGUAUGGAGUGUCGAACCCACAAGGAGCUAAAGGUAAGAUCAAUAUUCUCUCAAGUCCUAUCUGCCACCUAUACAACUCCACAUACACUGAGUGUUUGCUUCUCUCUAGUAACGAGGAAUAAAACCGAGUUGUGGGUAUAGAAAGGAUAGAUUUGCAUGGUAUUUGAGAACUAAAAUAUGAAAAAUAAUUGCUGCACUAAAUAGAGUUAGAAUAUAUCACAAUAUAUUACAAAUAACGAGUCUGGAAUAAUGAUGGUAUGGUCUGCGAAACCAUCCUAGGCAAUUUAUAACAAGUUCGUUAAUCAUUCUUGCAAUUUUAUAUGAGUAAGAGGCAUGAGCUAUCAUACUUUGUGUACUUGGAUUAUGUGAACUUAUGAUUAGAUCUCUAGAAAGCAUCCGCAACUACUAGAAAUCAUUAUGGUAAACCCAACCAUAGCAUUAAACAUCGAGUCCCCUUUACCCCCAUACGCAAACAACUCCCUUACUCGGGUGUAAGCUUCUGUCACUCUAGCCACCCACUAUAGGAGAAUCAUGAACAUAUUGAAAACCCUACAACAAGAAUUCCUUCACGUUUGAUUGGCACGAAAGGCACCAUAAGACAACACCAAAAUAAUACAUACACUCAAAUCAAUCAAGAUCAUCAAUCAACCCAAAGGACAACAUAAAUCUACUCAAACAUCAUAAGAUGGCAACACAUCAUUGAUUAAUAAUAUGUGACAUGAAACACCAUGUUCAAGUAGGGGAUUACAGUGGGGUAUGUGAGAGUGGACCACCAUAGAUAGAUGAGGGGAGGUAAUGGAGACGGUGAUGUUGAUGAAGACGAUCACCGCGGCGAUGGUUCCCCCGUUGGCACUCUGGCGCCACCUCCUCCAUGGCCUCUCCCUGGAUGGGGAGAGGUUCUACCCUAGGUCCUUGGCCUCCAUGGAUCCCGAAGGGGAAAAAUCCCCUCUGAGAUUGGAUCUCUCUCUAUCUCCCUCCCUCCCCCCUCCCUCCCUCCCUCUCUCUCUCCUAUUUUGGCUCCUGUUAUCUGGCCCUUCACCGUUUCUUAAAUAUCCGGAGUUCUGUAACUCCGAUCAGGUUGAAAUUUUGGGGGUAUUUUUAUCAGAAAAAUAUCUGUCCUCGGCAAAAUAAGGGCCCCAACUAACUUAAGGGGGAGGCACAAGAUAUUAGGGCAUGAACAACCCCCUGUCCAUCCAUGUUGGCUUGUGCCUCCCUCGGGCACCGUGUUGUGUUGAUUCUUCUUCCCAAAAUUCACAUAUAUUCCAAAAAAAUAUCCGGAAAUUUUCAUCGCGUUUGGAUUUUGUUUGACAUGGAAUUUCUGCAAAACAAAAAAUACAAAAAAAUAGGAACUGCCACUAGGCACUGGGUAAGUAAGUUAGUCCCAUAAAUUAAUACAAAAUGUUGCCAAAAGUAUAUGAAAGAUGUAAAAUAUUGACAUGAAUACUUCAUAAAUUAUUGAUACGUUGGAGACAUAUCAGCAUCCCCAAGCUGAAUUCCUGCUCGUCCUCGAGUAGGUUAAUGAUAAAAGAAAUAAUUUAUGAAGUGUGAAUGCUAGCGUAGUAUAUAAGUUUAAUCAAUGUUACUUCCAAUCACGUUUCCUAGCAUCAUAAAACAACAACUAUUUUCUCAUAGAACUUCUCAUAAUCAAGUAACAAGCUAUUAACAUGUUAAAGCAUUCACCAUAAAAAUUCUUGAAAACUAGCAAACUAUGUUUUCAGUCAUGAAACAAUUACAAUUCAUCUUAUUUUCAUGAAGGGUCUAUGUAAGAGCUUUGAUUUAGCAAAUUCCACAUACUCAACUAUCAUUUAGUCUUCCAUGAUUGCUAACACUCAAGGCAUAUUUUAGAACAAGCAGUUUUAAUCAAACACAUAGGAAGAUAGGGGCUUCAGGUUCCGCCUCCCAACUUAUUUCUCUCAGGUAUAACUUCAACAAUAAUGAAUCAUGAUUACCUAUAUCCAACUGGAUAUAUGUGCGUGGAUGUUUUCCCACCACAUGAUGCUUGCCAACUAAAGAAUUAAUAGAUUGGAAUAGGGUUGAACAUUAUUGACUCUUGCAUAAAAGUAAAAAUACAAAAGUAAGAGAUAAACCCUUCGUAGAGGGAUGUAGAGGUUCUCAUGUGUUUUUUAUUUUCCGAUGUGCAAACUCUUAAUGAAAAGGAAGGUCACUUUAUAUUCCCCUUAUGAUAGCAAACUUUAUUCUGCAGUCCCUCACUUUUAUUUUUUCCCACCACAAGAUAGUACAAAGAUUAUUUUCCCUUAAAAUAAAUACCAUACAUGUUUAGGAGCAAUUUUAUGUCCUUUGUACACCGAUGACAAUUUAAAUUAAGGACCUUAUUUAAUCCAUAGGUUUGUAUGGUGGACUCUUAUGGCAAGAAACCAUGUUUAAGGGUUAUGGAUGCACAAGUAAUAUCUCUACCUAGUGCGACCAAAAGAUCCUAAGAAAGCACCACACAUUAGAGGAUCCAUGACAACAUAACUAAUAUGUGAAUAUAAGCAAACAUAACCAUUACGUUGUCUUCCUUGUCCAACAUCAACUAUUUAAUCAAGUUUGAAAAUAAUUUAUCGGGGUUCAAAAUCAUAGAAGAUGUCCAAGAUAGAAUAUUUAUGUGUGAAAUGUCUCUUCCUUCACUAUUCUUUCAUGAAUUAUUCAAGUGACCAAUGUGAUGUUUGCUAACCUCCAAUAAGUAUUAUUGCCUAUACUCUUAGUAUAUGAAGUCACUACUCCCCAUGAGACAAGCAUAUGAAGCAUAAAAAUUUCAAGUUUUAUGACAUUCAAUUCAUUCAACAUUUUCUCUUAGGAUAUAAGUGAACCACAAGACUGAUCAUCAAACUACUCUCAACAUGAUAUAAGUGAAUUUCAUAGAGCAUUGUUCAAUAAAAUAGGGAGACCAAUAUACAAGCUUAAAAUAUAUAUGUGAAGCACGUAAAUCAUUCUAUAAAUCAAUAGUCACAAGAUUUAAGUGAAGCACGUGAAGCAUUCCAUAAAUCAACCAAGGAUUAUCUAUACAAGCAUGGUGCAUAAAAUAAAAAGAAAGUAGUAAACACAAAAUAUGCUCCAAGAAUAGCACAUGUGAACGAAUGAAAACUUAGGAUCAACAUUAGCUAACCGAUGAUUGUUGACAAAGAGAGGUGGGGUGUGUAGCAUCCACAAGCUUAGAUGCUUGAAAAUGCUUGUAAUAUUUAAUUGGGAUAACUUGGGCAUACCCAAGCUUGUGCUUUUGUAUCCCUUUCAAUCCUCUCAUAUCCCGGUUUCACCUAAGUCUGAAAAACAUCAUCCACACAAAACUUGAAAAGAACUGGUGAGACAAGUUGCAUAAUAAUUUUCAAACAUUAGGUACUAUAUACUAUCAUUUCCACAAUUUAUAUGUACCAAUAUAAGCCAUGAAAACUUAAGGAUAAGUAGAUAACAAAACUAUGACACCAAUCUGUCCAAACAGAAUAGUCUAUAGUAAUUUAUUUAGAAAGUGUACUAAUGUAUCUCCCAAAAUUCUAACAAUUUACGACAAGUUAAAGAAUUUGUAUGAAAGUACUGUAUAAAAAUUUCAAAAACUUUCAUUGUACCAGUAAAAUCUCAUAAUUCAAAUACUACAUCAAAAGUUUUUGUUUUUAUAUAGCACACCUCACACAUGCAAUUCAAGCAUUCUAAAGGCAAUUCUUGGAAAUUUUUAUUAAAAAACAAGAUUAUAACUAACAUAAAGCAGAUACUGACAAAACAAAAGGACUAUCCAAGAAAAACACAUAUUAUUCGAUGAAUAAAAAUAUAUCUCCAAGUAAGAUAUACCAAUAGUGUUGAAGACGAAAGAGGGGAUGCCUUCCGGGGCUUCCCCAAGCUUAGAUGCUUGAGACUUCCUUGGAUAUUACCUUCAGGGUGCCAUUGGCAUACCCAAGCUUAGGGUCUUGACUCUUCAUAGAAUCCUCAUAUUGGUAUGUCACCCAAAACUUGAAAACUCCAAUCACACAAAACUUAAGAGAAACCUCAUGACAUCCGUUAGUAUAAUAGGCAAAUCAUAAACUUAGGUAUUGUUAUAAAUUGAUCUAUAUUUAAUUAUUGCACAAGGUACUUUAUUCUAACUUCUCAAUGGCUUAUACAACCUCGAUACAAUCCAUAGGGUUAUCAAAACAAGCAAAUUGUGCAAGCAAAAUCAGAAUCUCUGUAAAAUAGAAUAGUCUAUAAUGAUCGACACAAAUACCAAACUUAUGUAACUCAAACAAUUCUAAAAAAUCGAAGGACCUCGGAAAUUUUUAUAUUAAUGGUUUGUAAAAACAUCAGAUCAAAAAUACGUUCUAGUAAAAUCAUAGAAAUUCUGCACUAGACAUCAAAGUUUUUGUUUUUGCACUCUAUCAAUUCUACUUAUCAUCCAAAUCAUCCUAAAGGCUUUACUUGGCACAUUAUUGAACUACAAGACACAAAACAAGAUUACUACAAUACCUUAAUCAUGUGAACACACAAAAACAUAAAGGAUAAGUGUUCGGUCAUCUCCCAACCAGCGCUUUUCUUUAAAUACUUUUAGCUAGGCAUGAUAAUUUCAAUGAUGCUCAUAUAGGGAUAAUUGAUGAAAUAUACAAAAGCGCAUCAUGAAUAUUAUGGGAAGCACAUUAUUUUGAUGGUAAAGUGGUAUAUACAAGGCGAUAAUUAUUUUUGUGAUAAACUUCCAUGAAAAAUUAUAUAUUGUUUCCAUGAGCAUGAACACAAGUGUUCAAGAUCGACCCUCACUUCUUCAAUGCAUAAUUGUCCAGUCGCUUCUCUUUUAUGAGGCAAGUAAUUUUUUGUGGUUUUAAUUUUGCAUUUUUUGCUUGUUUGUUUAAUCCGCAAAUAAAUAAAUAAAAUAAUAAAACAAAAACAAAACAAAAAGGAAAGGUACUUAGUGAUAGAAUAAUACAAGCAUACACGAAAAUAUCGACCCCACACUAUUGCUCCCUAGCAACGGCACCAAAAAAGAGCUUGAUGAUCCCCAAGCGCAAGGAAUCAUCAUAACUAUUUCCAAAGAUGUAAAUGGUAAGUAUGGAGUGCCAAACCCACAAGAAGAUAAAUGUAAGAUCAAUAUUCUCCCAAGUCCUAUCUGUCACCGAUACGACUCUAUAUACAUCAAUCGUUUGCCUCUAUCUAGUAACGAGAAAUAAAACCGGCCGUGAAUGCAUUAUUUCAACUUGCAAGAGAUGUAUGUCAAGGGUUAUUUCAACUUAGUGAAAUUCACUUCAAGAGAAUGCAUUAUUUCAAUGAUGACAUUUGAAUUGAUUGGCAGUAUAUCAUGAUGAGUUUUAUGAGAAAGAGUUGUUGAUUAUGAUGCUAGAAAAGUGAUUGAAAUUAUCAUUGAUCAAAAUUAUUCACUAUGCUAGCAUUAAAAGUUUGUAAAAUACUUGUUUUAGCAUUUACCUACUCGAGAAAGAGUAGGAAUUAAGCUUGCCGUUGCUGAUGUCUCUCGAACGUAUCGAUAAUUUAUGAAGUAUUCAUGAUAUAUUUACACAUGUUUAUAGUAUUUGUAUAUGGUUUUGAUGCACUUUAUAUGAUUUAAUUGGAACUAACCCGGACUAACGUUGUUUUGAGCAAAAUUGUAGUGAUGUUGUUUUUCUGUAGAAAAUAAAAGUUCUCAGAACUGUCAGAAACUAUUUGACGAUUUGUUCGGGAACAUAUAAGAAAUACUAGAGCAAACAACCACCGGAGGGGGGCCACCUGGUGCCCCCAAGGUAAAAUGGCGUUGCCAGCCCCUAGGGCACACCCAAUUUCCUUGGGACCCCACCUUGUGGCUCCAUGUCACGUGAUUCCAAUGCUGAAAAAUCCUAUAAAUAGAUAAACCCUUAGAAAUACAAAAAGAACUUCUGUUGGGCCGCCACAAGCAUAUGUACCGAAGAAAUCUGAUCUAGAUCUCUGUUUGGCACUUGUCGGAGGGGGCAAUUAUCAUCGAAAGCCAUCUUCGACAUCUCAGCGGUGUCCAUAAUGAGGAGGGAGUAGUUCAACCUCAUGGUUGAGGGUAUGUACCACUAGCUAUGUCUUUGAUCCCUCUCUCCCCCUCUCAUUUUCUUGAGAUGGCACGAUCUUGAUGUAUCACACGCUUUGUUAAUAUAGUUGGAUCAUAGAACUACAAGAAAUAAGGUCAAUUAUGACUCCCUAUAUUGGUCAUUGAUUCUUCAUUGUUGUCGUUUAUUGACCUUUUUGACCAAAUUUACAACGUCAACAGUUGGCCGUCAAGAAUGAGCAAACAUGACCUUUCUAAAAUUUUGGUCGCACGUCUCUAUCGACCAAAAUUUUGGUUUGGUCAUUACCCAUUUGUGUGAUCCACGUAGGAUCUGACGUGGCCAAGCUCACGUGGCAUUACUAGUGACCAAAUGGAAUCAUCAUAAGUUUGAUAUCCCUGUCCACCAAUUUAGCUACAUGCGCCUGGCCCAAUACCUAUUUUACUAUUGAAAAUGUCUGAUUUGUUUGGGUUGAAGCAUUUUUUUUGCUAGAAGCACACAUAUCAGAGGAUAGGCCCAUCAAAAAUAAGUACAACGGAAUAAAAGUUUGCAAAUAAAAUGUAUAUUUCAUUUCAGUAGCAUAUCACAUCAAAUACAAUACAUCAUCCAUCGACUCCACACAUUAAGAUUCAACGCCUAACAAGGGCACAUCAAAAUAAUUUUACAUGUACACAACAAAAUACUUCUGCAAGUGCAAGUGCACAGAAAAAGGACCCAACAAAUGCACAAUCGCACAUAAAGAGAGUUCCACAAAGAUUGGAUGAGAACGAUAAGUUUCUUCUCAUCCUCAUCCUCUGCACAAUAUGCUCAUGCCAUUGCCACCUGCAAGAAGAAAAUAAUGGUAAGGCUUUCAGACCAAGGAAAC